This 639-nucleotide ribosomal RNA is filed under the name uncultured archaeon. RNAcentral describes it as "bacterial SSU rRNA". It matches the Rfam family "Archaeal small subunit ribosomal RNA", at positions 238 to 879 of the family's 1478-position model. The record is from RNAcentral.
GAGGUAACGGCUCACCAAACCUUUGACCGGUACGGGCCAUGAGAGUGGUAGCCCGGAGAUGGACACUGAGAUAGGGGUCCAGGCCCUACGGGGCGCAGCAGGCGCGAAAACUCCACACUGUACGUAAGUACGAUGGGGUUACCUCGAGUGUAGUCUGUAAAAGAUUGCUUUUCCAUAGAGUAAUAUCCUGUGGGAAUAAGAGGGGGGCAAGACUGGUGUCAGCCGCCGCGGUAACACCAGCCCCUCGAGUGGUAGGGACUUUUAUUUGGCCUAAAGCGUUCGUAGCCGUCUGUAACCGUUGCCCGUUAAAUCCAGCGUCUCAAGCGUUGGACUGCGGGCGAUACCUUACAGAUUGAGGGUGGGAUAGGUAAGCGGUAUUUCUGGGGUAGGGGCGAAAUCCUUUGAUCCCAGGAGGACCACCAGUGGCGAAGGCUGCUUACUAGAACACGCCUGAUGGUCAGGAACGAAAGCUGGGGUAGCGAACCGGAUUAGAUACCCGGGUAGUCCCAGCUGUAAACGAUGCGCGCUAGGUGUUGGGUCGGCCAUGCGCCGCCCCAGUGCCGCAGGGAAGCCGUUAAGCGCGCCGCCUGGGGAGUACGGCCGCAAGGCUGAAACUUAAAGGAAUUGGCGGGGGAGCAC